CUAAUACCGGAUAAUAUUUUGAACCGCAUGGUUCAAAAGUGAAAGACGGUCUUGCUGUCACUUAUAGAUGGAUCCGCGCUGCAUUAGCUAGUUGGUAAGGUAACGGCUUACCAAGGCAACGAUGCAUAGCCGACCUGAGAGGGUGAUCGGCCACACUGGAACUGAGACACGGUCCAGACUCCUACGGGAGGCAGCAGUAGGGAAUCUUCCGCAAUGGGCGAAAGCCUGACGGAGCAACGCCGCGUGAGUGAUGAAGGUCUUCGGAUCGUAAAACUCUGUUAUUAGGGAAGAACAUAUGUGUAAGUAACUGUGCACAUCUUGACGGUACCUAAUCAGAAAGCCACGGCUAACUACGUGCCAGCAGCCGCGGUAAUACGUAGGUGGCAAGCGUUAUCCGGAAUUAUUGGGCGUAAAGCGCGCGUAGGCGGUUUUUUAAGUCUGAUGUGAAAGCCCACGGCUCAACCGUGGAGGGUCAUUGGAAACUGGAAAACUUGAGUGCAGAAGAGGAAAGUGGAAUUCCAUGUGUAGCGGUGAAAUGCGCAGAGAUAUGGAGGAACACCAGUGGCGAAGGCGACUUUCUGGUCUGUAACUGACGCUGAUGUGCGAAAGCGUGGGGAUCAAACAGGAUUAGAUACCCUGGUAGUCCACGCCGUAAACGAUGAGUGCUAAGUGUUAGGGGGUUUCCCGCCCCUUAGUGCUGCAGCUAACGCAUUAAGCACUCCGCCUGGGGAGUACGACCGCAAGGUUGAAACUCAAAGGAAUUGACGGGGACCCGCACAAGCGGUGGAGCAUGUGGUUUAAUUCGAAGCAACGCGAAGAACCUUACCAAAUCUUGACAUCCUUUGACAACUCUAGAGAUAGAGCCUUCCCCUUCGGGGGACAAAGUGACAGGUGGUGCAUGGUUGUCGUCAGCUCGUGUCGUGAGAUGUUGGGUUAAGUCCCGCAACGAGCGCAACCCUUAAGCUUAGUUGCCAUCAUUAAGUUGGGCACUCUAAGUUGACUGCCGGUGACAAACCGGAGGAAGGUGGGGAUGACGUCAAAUCAUCAUGCCCCUUAUGAUUUGGGCUACACACGUGCUACAAUGGACAAUACAAAGGGCAGCGAAACCGCGAGGUCAAGCAAAUCCCAUAAAGUUGUUCUCAGUUCGGAUUGUAGUCUGCAACUCGACUACAUGAAGCUGGAAUCGCUAGUAAUCGUAGAUCAGCAUGCUACGGUGAAUACGUUCCCGGGUCUUGUACACACCGCCCGUCACACCACGAGAGUUUGUAACACCCGAAGCCGGUGGAGUAACCUUUUAGGAGCUAGCCGUCGAAGGUGGGACAAAUGAUUGGGGUGAAGUCGUAACAAGGUAGCCGUAUCGGAAGGUGCGGCUGGAUCACCUCCUUUCUAAGGA
RNAcentral lists this ribosomal RNA (1393 nucleotides) under Staphylococcus aureus. Its description in RNAcentral is "bacterial SSU rRNA". It matches the Rfam family "Bacterial small subunit ribosomal RNA", at positions 163 to 1533 of the family's 1533-position model. The record is from RNAcentral. Lineage: Bacteria; Bacillati; Bacillota; Bacilli; Caryophanales; Staphylococcaceae.